CCUACGGGAGGCAGCAGUAAGGAAUAUUGGUCAAUGGAGGCAACUCUGAACCAGCCACGCCGCGUGCAGGAUGACGGCCCUAUGGGUUGUAAACUGCUUUUAUACAAGAGAAAACCCUGGUACGUGUACCAGGUUGAUAGUAUUGUAAGAAUAAGCAUCGGCUAACUUCGUGCCAGCAGCCGCGGUAAGACGAAGGAUGCAAGCGUUAUCCGGAUUCAUUGGGUUUAAAGGGUGCGUAGGCGGACUGAUAAGUCAGUGGUGAAAUCUCUUUGCUUAACAAAGAAACUGCCAUUGAUACUGUCGGUCUAGAGUAUAGAUGACGUUGGCGGAAUAUGACAUGUAGUGGUGAAAUACUUAGAUAUGUCAUAGAACACCGAUUGCGAAGGCAGCUAACGAAACUAUAACUGACGCUGAGGCACGAAAGUGCGGGGAUCAAACAGGAUUAGAUACCCUGGUAGUCCGCACCGUAAACGAUGAUUGCUCGUUGUUGGCGAUAUGACAGUCAGCGACCAAGCGAAAGCGAUAAGUAAUCCACCUUGGGGAGUACGCCGGNAACGGUUGAAACUUCAAAGGAUUGACGGCUUGAGACGNGCGAGGACGACGACGAGGGAGGAGG
Molecule: ribosomal RNA, 616 nt
Filed under: uncultured bacterium
Lineage: Bacteria
Description: bacterial SSU rRNA
Rfam family: Bacterial small subunit ribosomal RNA
Source: RNAcentral